CACACCCGUUCCCAUCCCGAACACGGCAGUUAAGCUCUUUUGCGCCGAUGGUAGUUGGGGGUCUCCCCCUGUGAGAGUAGGACGCCGCUGGGC
RNAcentral lists this ribosomal RNA (93 nucleotides) under Planomicrobium sp. Y74. The record is from RNAcentral. Lineage: Bacteria; Bacillati; Bacillota; Bacilli; Caryophanales; Caryophanaceae.